This 2340-nucleotide ribosomal RNA is filed under the name Triticum aestivum (bread wheat). RNAcentral describes it as "partial small subunit ribosomal RNA". The record is from RNAcentral. Lineage: Eukaryota; Viridiplantae; Streptophyta; Magnoliopsida; Poales; Poaceae.
AUGACCCAUAUCAUUAAUUAUAACAUGCAUCCAGACCAGAUAGAUCAGUAUGUAUAUGACAUCUCUUGGUCAUUGCGUACAGGUCAGAAGCUCUUACUACUUGUUGCCGCCACCCUAGUGCUACAUCAUAGUACUACCACUUAUGGAGCUGCGUCCUCUGGGAGCAUCAGCAUGGCACGGCCUGGCUGCCCAGAUAAGUGUGGCAACAUCAGCAUCCCAUACCCAUUUGGCACCGGAAAAGGCUGCUUCCAAGAACCCUUUAAUGUCACGUGCAAUGGGACCGGGGCAUAUCUGGGCUCAAACGGACUUAGGGUACUGGACAUCAGUCUUACCUUGGGUGAGGUUCGUGUUCAGAAUCCACAUAUAGCAUCACGAUGCAACUUCAGCAAUGGCAGCAAUAGCACCAGUGGUUUGGACGUCUUAACUCUUGAUCCUUUUCAUACGGUUUCCAACACCAAGAACAAGUUGACAUCAAUCGGCUGUGGUGGACUUGCAAUGGUUGUGGGACAAGCCAAGGGCAAGAACCAGCUUGAGUACCUCACCGCUGACUCAUGCAUUUCAUCCUGCAUGGACGUAAGCAGCAUCGGUAAUGGCACAGAGUGCUCUGGCAUGGGUUGCUGCCAGGCCCCUGUUUCAGGAAACAUCAACGCCUUCCUCGCCCAAUCCAUACCAGUAUCAGCUAUAUACAACUCUACCAUUCAGUCUUUCAGCCCAUGCACCUACUCAUUCGUUGCUGAGGAUGAUUGGUUCAAAUUUGAUCGUUCUUAUAUCAACUCUACAAAUUUUGGACGAAAAUAUACAGAUGGUGUUCCUUUGGUACUCGAUUGGGUUGUUGGUAAUGGAAGUUGUUCUGAAACCAGCAAGAUGGGUUCACAGUAUGCCUGCCAAGCCAUGAACAGCGAGUGCAUUGAUGUGUCCAAUGGCCCCGGUUACCGCUGCAACUGCUCUCAAGGUUAUGAAGGCAAUCCCUACUUACAAGGAGGGUGCAAAGACAUCAAUGAGUGCGAACCUCCAAACCAGUCCUUGUAUCCUUGCAAAGGUAAUUGCAGAAACACCGUUGGGAGCUACACCUGUUCAUGCUCAUCAGGAUUUAGGAGCGAUGAUCCAAAGAGCAUACCCUGCGUUCAAGCUGACCCAAACAAAGCUCUGAAGGUGGCCUUAGGCACAUCCGCCGGUGUCGUCUUCCUCAUGGUUUGCAUGUUUGCUCUACGGGCUGAAUAUCAGAAAAGGAAGCUGGUGAAAGAGAAGGAAAGAUUCUUUGAUCAGAAUGGUGGUCAGAUAUUAUACCAUCAAAUUAUGUCAAAACAGGUCGAUACAUUGAUGAUAUUCACUCAGGAAGAUCUAAAGAAGGCUACAAAUGAUUUUGAUGAGAGCAGAGAAGUGGGCAGGGGCGGUCAUGGCACUGUGUACAAGGGUGUUCUUAAGGAUGGAAGAGUAAUAGCCGUGAAGCGCUCCAAGAUCAUGAAUGUGGCUGAAACUGAUGAAUUUGUGCAGGAGAUUAUCAUACUUUCACAGACCAACCACCGGAAUGUGGUCAGGCUUCUAGGGUGCUGCUUAGAGGUGGAAGUCCCCAUACUAGUCUAUGAAUUCAUCCCGAAUGGCACUCUUUUUGAGUUCAUCCAUCGUAACCGUGGGACUCCACCUCCCUCGCUGGACACCCGGCUCAGGGUCGCUCAAGAAUCUGCUGAAGCACUCGCAUAUCUGCAUCUGUCCAUGAACCGCCCCAUAGUGCAUGGAGAUGUCAAGUCCAUGAACAUUCUCUUGGACGAAAACUACAUGGCGAAGGUGACUGACUUUGGGGCAUCAAGGACACUCCCCAAGAAUGAGGUUCAGUUCAUGACAUUGGUGCAGGGGACCCUGGGUUACCUGGAUCCCGAGUACCUGCAGGAACGGCAGCUCACGGAGAAGAGCGACGUUUACAGCUUCGGUAUUGUGCUGCUGGAGCUGAUCACGGGGAAGACGGCGAUCUACCACGACGGCCCCAAGGAAGGCAAGAGCCUCGCGUCGUCCUUCCUGCUCGCGAUGAAGGAGGAGAGCCUCGAUGGCAUCCUGGACGCGAGCAUACUAAGCGCCGGGAUGGAGACGCUGCUGAGAGAAGUCGCCGAGCUUGCGAGGAUGUGCUUGAGCACCAGGGGGGAAGAGAGGCCUUCCAUGACCCAGGUUGCUGACAAGCUGAAGGCUCUGCGAAGCACCUGGAGGGAGAAAUUGCUGCUGACGCACGGCGAGACUGACCGUUUGGUAUCGUCACCUGCAGCUUUGGCGUUUCAUGAUCCUCCGUCAUGGAUCAUGUUCUCGACUGGUCCCCGCAUGUCUGGAAUAGGUAUAGAGACACCCAGAUGA